AUUGAUAAGAGGGGAUCAAGAAGGGAUAGGGUCGAAUCGGCCGGAUUAUACACAAGUGUUGCAUGGCUGUCGUCAGCUCGUGUCGUGAGAUGUUGGGUUAAGUCCCGCAACGAGCGCAACCCUCAUCCUUAGUUGCCAUCAGGUAAUGCUGAGUACUUUAAGGAAACUGCCAGUGAUAAGCUGGAGGAAGGUGGGGAUGAUGUCAAGUCAUCAUGGCCUUUAUGGAGUGGGCUACACACGUGCUACAAUGGUGUCUACAAUGGGCUGCAAGGUGCGCAAGCCUAAGCUAAUCCCUAAAAGACAUCUCAGUUCGGAUUGUACUCUGCAACUCGAGUACAUGAAGUUGGAAUCGCUAGUAAUCGUGGAUCAGCAUGCCACGGUGAAUAC
RNAcentral lists this ribosomal RNA (387 nucleotides) under Wolbachia pipientis. RNAcentral's name for it is "bacterial SSU rRNA". It matches the Rfam family "Bacterial small subunit ribosomal RNA", at positions 985 to 1369 of the family's 1533-position model. Lineage: Bacteria; Pseudomonadati; Pseudomonadota; Alphaproteobacteria; Rickettsiales; Anaplasmataceae. The record is from RNAcentral.